CCUACGGGAGGCAGCAGUGAGGAAUAUUGGUCAAUGGACGAGAGUCUGAACCAGCCAAGUAGCGUGAAGGAUGACUGCCCUAUGGGUUGUAAACUUCUUUUAUAUGGGAAUAAAAUGUUCCACGUGUGGGAUUUUGUAUGUACCAUAUGAAUAAGGAUCGGCUAACUCCGUGCCAGCAGCCGCGGUAAUACGGAGGAUCCGAGCGUUAUCCGGAUUGAUUGGGUUUAAAGGGAGCGUAGGGGGAUUGUUAAGUCAGUUGUGAAAGUUUGCGGCUCAACCGUAAAAUUGCAGUUGAAACUGGCAGUCUUGAGUACAGUAGAGGUGAGUGGAAUUCGUGGUGUAGCGGUGAAAUGCUUAGAUAUCACGAAGAACUCCGAUGGCGAAGGCAGCUCACUGGACUGCAACUGACGCUGAGGCUCGAAAGUGUGGGUAUCAAACAGGAUUAGAUACCCCUGUAGUC
RNAcentral lists this ribosomal RNA (460 nucleotides) under uncultured bacterium. RNAcentral's name for it is "partial 16S ribosomal RNA". It matches the Rfam family "Bacterial small subunit ribosomal RNA", at positions 338 to 795 of the family's 1533-position model. The record is from RNAcentral.